Long non-coding RNA from Cygnus atratus (black swan), 2380 nucleotides. RefSeq lists it as uncharacterized. The transcript has 4 exons. The record is from RefSeq and is a predicted model, not a curated record. Lineage: Eukaryota; Metazoa; Chordata; Aves; Anseriformes; Anatidae.
GGCCGCCGGGGAGGCGGGGAACGGGGAGGCAGAGCCCCGGGGAGGAGCGGCUGGCAGCCGAGCGUUGGACGAGCUCGGAAGGGAGUUAACCGCUUCGAGGCAUCGCCGGCAGCGGCGGGCUGGGAGGAGGAGACCGUGGGGCUCGGAGGAUCACAGAGCAAAGGGAGCUCAAAGGGUACUGCAAUCCCAUGCACGCAGGCUGCUCAGAGGGAAGCAGGCGUGGUGGGGUUGCCCUUGCAGGGAGGAUGAAGGCAAGCACCGUGACAGCUCUCUGCUCCUCCCUGCUGCUCGUGCUGCAGCCGGCACACCCUCCUCACCCCUUGGCAGCACAGUGACGAAAUAAGGAUGUUUGCAGGAGGGGCGGAAAGGCAUUGUUCUCCCAGCCAUCACACAUCACACGAGCUCGGGAGGCCCAGCGCAGGCUGAAGGAGCAGCAAGCCCCGGUCCCUCUGACAGCAGGCACCAGGGGCAUGGUAAACACACAGGAAUGUUUUCCCUACGCCACCUCCUGGCGCCUGGAGAUCUCUGGCUUCUCAAGGCAGAGGUUGGGCUUCGGCGACUAAUGGCUGUGUGCGUGUGCAGAUAUUUCUCGGGUGAAGCAAUCCCCUUCUGGCACUCAGUGUCCCGCAGCGGGGAGAGCCGCGAUUUAUCCACGCGCCACAGGAAGCAAUGCCUCCUGUUUGCUGCCCUUGGCUGACUUUGUUUGCUGCCGUUCGCGUCAGAAUAAGCAACUGUGCUCUCUUCAGCCAGGAAUUCACACAAUUCCACUCUCCCAUUUCACCCCGGUGCUCCUCAGUGGCUUCCCAGCAGUUAACAACCUGCUCCUGCCACCAGCUGCCAGCCCCCUUCCAGGGCCUGCCCCCCCGGAGGCAGGUCCAGCAUUUAUAUUUACAGCACUUAGCUCACUAACCAGGGAGGAAGAAAGUCCUGCUUCGGGCCUUGGAUGAGUUUCAUCCAAAACUGAACGAAUAUCAGCUGUUGAUUACAAGAAGAUCGUCUGGACUGAGCAUGAGGAAGCCUGUUCCUCGCUGAGCUGUGCCCAGGUAACCUCAGGCGUGUUUUGCAACAGAUUUGCUAUGGCCAUGCUAGGUUUAAUUCAGGCAGGUUUUUUAAAAACAAUAGUGAUCAGCUUAGGGCUGAUGGAUCAGCCACAGCCCUCCAGGAGAAGUGUUCAGCUCCUGAAGUUCUUCAGAGGGACCUGCAGAGGGAACGCCUGAGGUGGAGCACUUUUGGGGUCAAACAGGAAACUGCAGAGAAUCUCCCAGAAGACAGUAGCGGGUUUUCUCUUUUUGCUAACAACAUGAUCUUAAAGAAUAAGCUCAGGAUGGCAGCCUGCACGGUCCAGAGAGGUGACUGCCCUUUGUCUUCUGCUCUGUGCUUCCAUGCCAACACCUUGGAAGUCAACCAGAAGGUGAAUUGUGUGACAGCUACCUGCACCAUGUCCAGGAAAUCAGAAACCAGAAGAAAGGGUUCCUCUGUGGUGUUGGCCAGUGUCCCAGGGACCUGCAGCAGCUGGGGCUCACGUUGGACCCCUGCCCACUAGAGGUUUUCGCUGAUAGCAAAUUUUGUUGCUCUGAUCAGAAACUUUGCUGCCCUUCUCCCUCUGCAGCCAGCUGGGUUCAGACCGGCUCUGGGGUUUCUGCCAGGCUGCUGUGAGAUUCCUGAAAAUGUUUCCUACAGGAAAUAUUUCCUACAGGAGAACAGCUGAUUCCUGCUGGAAGAAGAAACAUCCUUAGUGCUCUGCUUCUGAAGAAGCCAGGAGAGGGAGCUAGCCAGCCAGUUACUGCACCGCCCGGAUUUCCAGAUCUCCCUGUGUGCCAUGGGAUGAAAGCAAACACACUUAAGUACACACACUGAUUUCCCCAGAAGUCCUGGAGGGAAGGUUUGGUCUGUGCAGACCUGGGGGCGUUCAUUUACACAGACAGGAUGGGCAUCGGGCAGGAGGGGAAACUGAGGCACAGAGCAGGCACCUUGCUGAAGCUGGUUGGUGGCAUCCCCCUUGGGGACCCUCAGAGUCCCACUUUGGGUUGUAAUUGCCUUGCAUCGGUCGGCACAGACCUCCCUGUGUGCUCUGGGUCUGGGGUCGGUGCAGAGGGCCCGUUUUAUCACCACCUCCGAUGUCACACCUGUACGGACACACAGCUUGCACGGCGCCGAUGGCGAGUGGGGAUGGCCCUCACCCGUCCCCUUCCUGGAGCAGAAAGCCUCAAAGCACCAAGGUCUGUGCUCACAGGAAGCAAGUGGAUCGAUCGAUCAGCCCUUCGGACCCCCCUGCCUUGUCCUUCCCCUCUUCUCUCCCCUGGCCUAGCAAGAUCACCCCUGCGAUGGGAAGAAAUAAAUAAAUAACUGAAUAAAAAUGCUGACGUGGAGAAGUCAAUCA